Daphnia pulicaria is the source of this 184-nucleotide long non-coding RNA. RefSeq lists it as uncharacterized. NCBI's taxonomy places the organism in Eukaryota, Metazoa, Arthropoda, Branchiopoda, Diplostraca, Daphniidae. The record is from RefSeq and is a predicted model, not a curated record. The transcript is spliced from 3 exons.
AUAGCUUUGACAAAUCGUUUGUUAAAGAGAUUUCUUUCACUAUUAAAGAAAUAGACAACGACCCAGUGUCUAAUUUAAUUAAUCUAGAAAAAGGAGUCGGCCAAAAUUUGAUCUGCAACCGUUGGUCGCAACAUGUGCCCAUUCAUUGGCUCAAGGAUGGCGUGGCACACUCCGACUUGAUCUA